AGCGUUGUUGCAUGAGUAGGAUCCCGACAAUUAAAGUUUGUGGACCUCCCAUUGUGGCCCAUUAAAAUUCGCAGUUAUUUUUAUAAAAAACGGGUUUUUCAGCGGUUUAACCGGGUACGGUUUGACCGGUUUUUCAGUCAACCGAUGGUUCUUAACGGUUCUGUUUGGAAGCGGUUUUUGGCUAUUACAAAACUGGUUCAGCCGGUCCGGUUUUCAAAACAGUUUGAAAUGUAUUAAUGGAAAAAGAAAGCUGCCCCUUUCAAGUUUCCACCAGCGUGCUUCUCCAAAACUAGCGAUACCCUUUUACCCUAACGCCUCCACUCCAGCGACUUCCUCCGCCACUCCAUCUUUUGAGCGCUGCGACUACCUCCGGCCACCAGAGAUGAGCGCCGCCACCCCAACGCCUAGCCGGGUUCAGAGUUUUAGCUAUGGUUGCUGAUGAAACCAACCUCCAACAGGAGGGUUUUACAGCCUCAGCCUCAAAGUUGGGGAAGAUGCAUUUUGCUGAUGUUAAUUGGGAGAUGAAGCGCCAAGCAAUCACUUUCGGAAUGAAAGUAAAAUCCGACUUGAGUGUAACUUGUCCACAUUGACACUAAUUAGUAGUAAUUAAUGACAUAUUCGGAAGUGUUGGUGUUAAUUACGGAUCGAGUGCUAAUGUUAGUCCAAACCUCGAUCUUUUGUUUGCAUCUAUGCAAUCGACUUCACAAGUAGUUGUGACAAGCGCAAUGUAGAAACUGGUGCUGAACUAGGGCACUUAGUUUACAACUACUUGCACGGGACUUAAUGAUCGUCUCUGGGUCCAAGUCAUGUUGGACCCAAGAAUCAGCGAGUCAUUGCUCGACACAAUAUGCGUCAGCUCACCCCCAACAGCUUCUUUCAUGAAAGGAUUUACAUCCUAAUGAUAAGCAAAGCUAAGGAUGUCUCCUUUCUCCGACCUAUAUUAAAGGAGGACAUAAUCAAGAAAUAGCAAAGUACGAUACUGGAAUUGGGUACGGGACCGGGUAAAGUGGGUCUACAACUAGAAAAUCGGGUUUCAAAAACUGGUCCGGUUGUCAAAAUCAGUUUAUCCGGACCCGAAGGACCCAAACCCGGAAAACAUGAUAAAGCCAUGUAAAAAAGUACAAUGUUUUAAUCGAAAAAGAGAGAGGUAUUCACCAAUGUGAACGAUGUCAUGAGAUCAUUUUUGGUGUAGCUUAAACCAAUAUUACAUGUAGUGGGAUGUUGGCAUUUCAUACCAAAAGAGACAUUUGCUCCUA
Molecule: long non-coding RNA, 1256 nt
Organism: Lactuca sativa (garden lettuce)
Lineage: Eukaryota; Viridiplantae; Streptophyta; Magnoliopsida; Asterales; Asteraceae
Source: RefSeq, a predicted model, not a curated record